UGCAGUACAGUGGUGAUAUAAGUGUCACUGGCAUAGUUAAUGUUGUAAUGCUGAAAUAGUAGCUAUGCAGCGUGCUAAUUCGUCUGUGCAGGCAGCUAAGCAGAGAUUGAAGCAGUUCCCUGUGGCCUUGAAAGAAUGUAGGACUGAGAUGUCAGCAUACGGGAAGUGUGUUUCAGAGAAGGAGGAUGUGAAAUGUAAUGAUUGCGCCAAAGAGUUCCAGGCUCUGAAGGAAUGUUUUAAGAAAACAAUGCAGAAAGCAGGAAAAAGGUAGCAGAUAAUGAGUGGACAUGACUUAAGAUAGAGAGAAACCAAUGCUGCAACCUGGGUCUGGAGGUUUCCAUGGUAACAUUGCCAUUUCACAGAAAUCACAAAGCACAACAGACUAACAUAUGCCUUGGGUGAUUUUAGAAGAAAUCUAAGGCAUGUCCAGUUAUGUUAUGUACUCAGACAUUUUUAUGACAAAAAGGAAUUUGGACAGCGGACAUCCGUCUGAUGGAAAACAGCCCUUAAGAACUGUAGAAGUUUUAGUUUUGGGUCUAUUUUGCACUUACUUUUGAAACUCUAAGGAGGUUAAUAUGAGAUGUUAUAUGUCUGAGAUUGUUUAAGUGUCCAAACAGUUGGUAGAUGUGUUUGCUCAUCAUG
Long non-coding RNA from Lingula anatina, 642 nucleotides. NCBI's taxonomy places the organism in Eukaryota, Metazoa, Brachiopoda, Lingulata, Lingulida, Lingulidae. The record is from RefSeq and is a predicted model, not a curated record.